GUAUUCACACGGGUAGCUCAUAUACUAAAAUUGGAAUGGUCCAGAUUAGCAUAGACCCUGCACAAGGAUGACACACAAAUUCAUGAAAGUGCUCCAUAUUUUU
RNAcentral lists this small nuclear RNA (103 nucleotides) under Sarcophilus harrisii (Tasmanian devil). Lineage: Eukaryota; Metazoa; Chordata; Mammalia; Dasyuromorphia; Dasyuridae. The record is from RNAcentral.